AUUGAACGCUGGCGGCAGGCCUAACACAUGCAAGUCGAGCGAGCGGCGGACGGGUGAGAAAUGUAUGGGGACUGCCCGAUAGAGGGGGGUAACUACUGGAAACGGUGGCUAUUAUAGCACACUGUAGGAUAACCCCUAUGGGAUUAGCUAGUAGGUAAGGUAAUGGCUUACCUAGGCGACGAUCCCUAGCUGGUCUGAGAGGAUGAUCAGCCACACUGGGACUGAGACACGGCCCAGACUCCUACGGAGGCAGCAGUGGGGAAUAUUGCACAAUGGGCGCAAGCCUGAUGCAGCCAUGCCGCGUGUAUGAAGAAGGCCCUAGGGUUGUAAAGUACUUUCAGUCGGGAGGCGUUACCGACAGAAGAAGCACCGGCUAACUCCGUGCCAGCAGCCGCGGUAAUAC
This 403-nucleotide ribosomal RNA is filed under the name uncultured bacterium. Its description in RNAcentral is "partial 16S ribosomal RNA". It matches the Rfam family "Bacterial small subunit ribosomal RNA", at positions 30 to 526 of the family's 1533-position model. The record is from RNAcentral.